UGCCAAUGACACUUUGGACGCUUCGUUCACGGUAAGUACAACUCCUGCUACCUGUGGCCACGCACUGUAAUUUAUGACCCAUUUUCAUUGUGUACCGGUCGUAUAAGCUCCAAGAGAAGACACGGAUGAUCAUUCCGUCUAGUGUUUUCCUAAUCAACUGGUCAUGCGGGCGCUUGUCCCCCUUUAACCAUUCAGACUUGAUGGUGACAGCGAUGUGAUAAAGAAAAAAACGGGGAUGUCAGUUUCGACGAUGUCGAACUGGCUACCCCAGUACGCUUACACAAAGAAAGUACAAACAGAUGAUGAGAUGAUGAGAAAACAAAGAGAUGACCAGAGAAGAACAGAUAUGAUGAUGGAGUUCACCAUGCAGUUCAAACGUUUCGACCAACUGAGAGCUCGCUCAGAAACUCUACAUUUCUGGAAGCGAAAAGGGGGGGGGGGGCAACGGCCCCUCUUCCCCCUUCCCCCCAGCUGGCGCCCAUGAGUGGAGGGUUUGCCCUUCUACUGCACUACAACUGGCUUAUUCGAAAAAUAUAAUAUUGUUUCCAUAUAUCGCAUGUACGAUUAUAAACUGUGCCUCACUUACAGAGAAGCAGUUGCCAAUAGCAAUAUGACAUUUCUUGAAAUUGUAAAUUUCUUGGCAAACGUGAACUGUUAUCCGUCUCGUCACCGCCAAAACAGAUGGUCUGUUAGAAGGUGCAGAACAACGUACCGUACACAACUAAUACAACGAACACUUCAAGCACGUCAAAGACGUCAAGCGUCCUGGAACAGCUGGUCGCACCAGUACGACCUUUACGUUUCCAUUUUUGUUUCUUUCUUCUUCUAUUCUAUUCUAUUCUAGGAAGCACUUCCUCGACUUCUGAGCGUAUUUAAUCGAGAUUUUCUCAAUUCCUCCACGCGUAACAUAAAAAAAUAUUUCUGAACGUAAAAUGGUGAAAAAAGUAGAAGUACCGUAAUUUUGUUAUCAUAUAUAGCUACUGCAUUUUGUACUUUUGUGUUUUCUUACAUGACCUUUGUGUAUUCGAAUGUGCAUGAAUCAUGAUGCUGCUGUUGUAGGGGACCAGUGGCCCCGUCAAACCGCGAAUAGUGGCUUUUUGUCACCGGUUCCCUGUCACUCAGUGAUGAAAUAAAUAAAUGGAUGGUACGUUUAUACUUUC
Long non-coding RNA from Ornithodoros turicata, 1160 nucleotides. RefSeq lists it as uncharacterized. The transcript has 2 exons. Lineage: Eukaryota; Metazoa; Arthropoda; Arachnida; Ixodida; Argasidae. The record is from RefSeq and is a predicted model, not a curated record.